CUACGGAAGGCAGCAGUGGGGAAUAUUGGGCAAUGGUCGGAAGACUGACCCGGCCAUGCCGCGUGCAGGAUGAAGGCGCUAUGCGUUGUAAACUGCUUUUGUUAGGGAAGAAAAUGGCUAUGCGUAGCAACUUGACGGUACCUAAAGAAUAAGCAUCGGCUAACUCCGUGCCAGCAGCCGCGGUAAUACGGAGGAUGCAAGCGUUGUCCGGAUUUAUUGGGUUUAAAGGGUGCGUAGGCGGUCUUAUAAGUCAGUGGUGAAAGCCUGCAGCUCAACUGUAGAACUGCCAUUGAUACUGCUAGUCUUGAAUAUAGUUGAGGUAGGCGGAAUAUGACAUGUAGCGGUGAAAUGCUUAGAUAUGUCAUAGAACACCGAUUGCGAAGGCAGCUUGCUAAACUAUUAUUGACGCUGAGGCACGAAAGCGUGGGUAGCAAACAGGAUUAGAUACCCUUGUAGUCCU
This 460-nucleotide ribosomal RNA is filed under the name uncultured bacterium. Its description in RNAcentral is "bacterial SSU rRNA". It matches the Rfam family "Bacterial small subunit ribosomal RNA", at positions 339 to 797 of the family's 1533-position model. The record is from RNAcentral.